Molecule: ribosomal RNA, 101 nt
Filed under: Sinocyclocheilus anshuiensis
Lineage: Eukaryota; Metazoa; Chordata; Actinopteri; Cypriniformes; Cyprinidae
Source: RNAcentral
AGCCAUAUCACCCUGCAGCCCAAGACUGGUUGCCCACUGAAGCUAAGCAGGGUUGAGCCUGGUCAGUACCUGGAUGGGAGACCUCCUGAAAAUGCAUCAUU